RNAcentral lists this unclassified non-coding RNA (329 nucleotides) under Hevea brasiliensis (rubber tree). The record is from RNAcentral. Lineage: Eukaryota; Viridiplantae; Streptophyta; Magnoliopsida; Malpighiales; Euphorbiaceae.
GUUACCAUUUCUUCUGACAAGGGUCUUUGUGGUGGAAUUAAUUCUACCUCAGUCAAGAUAAGCAAGGCUCUACACAAGAUAAAUUCUGGUCCUGAAAAGGAAUCAAAAUAUGUUGUAUUGGGAGAGAAGGCAAAGGCUCAGUUAAUACGUGACUCCAAGAAGCACAUAGAAAUCAUCUUCACUGAGUUGCAGAAGAAUCCUUUGAACUAUACUCAGGUCUCUGUCUUAGCUGAUGAUAUUCUAAAGAACGUAGAAUAUGAUGCUCUGAGGAUUGUUUUCAACAAGUUCCAUUCAGUUGUCUCAUUUCUGCCUACAACAUCUACCGUUCU